This 73-nucleotide transfer RNA is filed under the name Ictidomys tridecemlineatus (thirteen-lined ground squirrel). Its description in RNAcentral is "Spermophilus tridecemlineatus (thirteen-lined ground squirrel) tRNA". It matches the Rfam family "tRNA". Rfam says of the family: Transfer RNA (tRNA) molecules are approximately 80 nucleotides in length. Their secondary structure includes four short double-helical elements and three loops (D, anti-codon, and T loops). The record is from Rfam by way of RNAcentral. Lineage: Eukaryota; Metazoa; Chordata; Mammalia; Rodentia; Sciuridae.
GGGGAUAUAGCUCAGGUGGUAGAGUGCCUGCUUCCAAUGCCCAAGGCCCUGGGUUCAGUUUCCAGCAUCACCA